GACGUGCGUCCCGGCCACGCUUCCUGGAAGAGAUGCAUUGCGGAGCUCGCUGGUGGGGCGUUGGGUUUCUUUAGGAGUGUGAGUCUAGCGUUAUCCCUUUUUUCCCGUCUGGGUCCCGGGUUACCCCACCAGCCCGACCUCAACCCCCUCGCGUCCACAGCACGAGCCCCAGCGGCCUUGCGCGGUGCUUACUCUCUAGUAGCGGCUGACUAGGUCAGGCAGGAUCUUUGAUUUUGGAGCACAAGGCUUCUGCGUGCUACUGACUGGGUCCUGGCCUCCCUCCUUCCAUGGCACCGUCGUGAAUGGGAAUUUCCGCCACUGCCUCCAUUAGUCAGAAGACUGAACAUGUUGUAACUGUAGAAAGUCCAUCAUCCUUGUGUAUGCACUUGAAAGAUCCACUGAAGAGCAACCUUCGUGAACAUUACCAGGGGACUUGUGCUCCUAUAAAACGCACUGUUUUCCUCACUGCAAGGGGGGUCUCUCACACCGCAAUGGACUAUCUGUGAUCACAGAGCACUUCUUCCCUGGGCCUUCCCUAUCACACUGAUGGCGUGAGUAUGUAGGGCAGGGGUGGGAGUAAACAUGUUAACCUCUUUUGAAUAAACUGAUUUUGAAGUAGAUGUCUCAAAAAAAA
Molecule: long non-coding RNA, 634 nt
Organism: Pongo pygmaeus (Bornean orangutan)
Lineage: Eukaryota; Metazoa; Chordata; Mammalia; Primates; Hominidae
Exons: 3
Source: RefSeq, a predicted model, not a curated record